GACAGAGGGUGCAACCGUUGUUCGGAAUUACUGGGCGUAAAGCGCGUGUAGGCGGCUAUGCAAGUCGGGCGUGAAAGCCCUCGGCUCAACCGAGGGAGUGCACUCGAAACUGCGUAGCUAGAGUCCCGGAGAGGAAGGUGGAAUACUUGGUGUAGAGGUGAAAUUCGUAGAUAUCAAGUGGAACACCGGUGGCGAAGGCGGCCUUCUGGACGGUGACUGACGCUGAGACGCGAAAGCGUGGGGAGCAAACAGG
RNAcentral lists this ribosomal RNA (253 nucleotides) under uncultured bacterium. RNAcentral describes it as "partial 16S ribosomal RNA". It matches the Rfam family "Bacterial small subunit ribosomal RNA", at positions 524 to 776 of the family's 1533-position model. The record is from RNAcentral.